RNAcentral lists this non-coding RNA (46 nucleotides) under Trichobilharzia regenti. Lineage: Eukaryota; Metazoa; Platyhelminthes; Trematoda; Strigeidida; Schistosomatidae. The record is from RNAcentral.
AUACUGCUGAAGAGUCCAAGACUAGGGCGAAACAGCCGUUCAGUAC